RNAcentral lists this ribosomal RNA (495 nucleotides) under uncultured delta proteobacterium. Its description in RNAcentral is "bacterial SSU rRNA". It matches the Rfam family "Bacterial small subunit ribosomal RNA", at positions 28 to 523 of the family's 1533-position model. Lineage: Bacteria; Deltaproteobacteria. The record is from RNAcentral.
AACGAACGCUGGCGGCGUGCCUAACACAUGCAAGUCGAGCGCUCCAGGGGGUUUCGGCCUCGUGGGGAGCGGCAGACGGGUGAGUAACACGUGGGUAACCUGCCCCUGGGUGGGGGAUAACUACUCGAAAGGGUGGCUAAUACCGCAUGAGACCACGACCCUUCGGGGAUGAGGUCAAAGGCGCAAGCCGCCUGGGGAGGGGCCCGCGUCCGAUUAGCUAGUUGGUGAGGUAACGGCCCACCAAGGCGACGAUCGGUAGCUGGUCUGAGAGGAUGACCAGCCACACUGGUACUGAGACACGGACCAGACUCCUACGGGAGGCAGCAGUGGGGAAUAUUGCGCAAUGGGCGAAAGCCUGACGCAGCAACGCCGCGUGGGUGAUGAAGGCCUUCGGGUCGUAAAGCCCUGUCAGAGGGGAAGAAACCUCCCUGCAAGGGGAGCUGACGGUACCCUCGGAGGAAGCACCGGCUAACUCCGUGCCAGCAGCCGCGGUAA